RNAcentral lists this ribosomal RNA (463 nucleotides) under uncultured bacterium. Its description in RNAcentral is "partial 16S ribosomal RNA". It matches the Rfam family "Bacterial small subunit ribosomal RNA", at positions 28 to 507 of the family's 1533-position model. The record is from RNAcentral.
GACGAACGCUGGCGGCGUGCUUAACACAUGCAAGUCGAACGGUGAACCUCUUCGGAGGGGAUCAGUGGCGCACGGGUGAGUAACACGUGGGCAACCUGCCCCCGGCUCUGGGAUAACUCCAAGAAAUUGGGGCUAAUACCGGAUGUUCACCGCUUCCCGCAUGGGUGGUGGUGGAAAGGGUUUCCGGCUGGGGAUGGGCCCGCGGCCUAUCAGCUUGUUGGUGGGGUAGUGGCCUACCAAGGCGACGACGGGUAGCCGGCCUGAGAGGGUGACCGGCCACACUGGGACUGAGACACGGCCCAGACUCCUACGGGAGGCAGCAGUGGGGAAUAUUGCGCAAUGGGCGGAAGCCUGACGCAGCGACGCCGCGUGGGGGAUGACGGCCUUCGGGUUGUAAACCUCUUUCAGCAGGGACGAAGCGCAAGUGACGGUACCUGCAGAAGAAGCACCGGCCAACUACGUG